AGCACUGCGGCGUGAGUGAAGUGGCUCUUCGGCUCGUAAGCUCUGUUGUUGGAGAAGAACGUGCGUCGGAGUCACUGUUUUCGCCGUGGCCGUAUCCAACCAGAAAGUCACGGCUAACACGUGCCAGCAGCCGCGGUAAU
Molecule: ribosomal RNA, 140 nt
Filed under: uncultured bacterium
Lineage: Bacteria
Description: partial 16S ribosomal RNA
Rfam family: Bacterial small subunit ribosomal RNA
Source: RNAcentral